UAAGACGAGCCACACGAACGUUAUUCGGAAUUACUGGGCUUAAAGGGUGCGUAGGCUGCGCGGAAAGUUGGGUGUGAAAUCCCUCGGCUCAACCGAGGAACUGCGCCCAAAACUGCCGUGCUCGAGGAAGAUAGAGGUAAGCGGAACUUACGGUGGAGCGGUGAAAUGCGUUGAUAUCGUAAGGAACACCUGUGGCGAAAGCGGCUUACUGGGUCUUUUCUGACGCUGAUGCACGAAAGCUAGGGGAGCAAACGGGAUUAGAUACCCCGGUAGUCCUAGCCGUAAACUCUCAGCACUGAAUUGAAGGGCCUCCCAUAGCCCUUCAGUUGAAGCGAAAGUGUUAAGUGCUGCGCCUGGGGAGUAUGGUCGCAAGGCUG
Molecule: ribosomal RNA, 377 nt
Filed under: uncultured bacterium
Lineage: Bacteria
Description: bacterial SSU rRNA
Rfam family: Bacterial small subunit ribosomal RNA
Source: RNAcentral